CCUACGGGUGGCUGCAGUGAGGAAUAUUGGUCAAUGGACGAGAGUCUGAACCAGCCAAGUAGCGUGAAGGAUGACUGCCCUAUGGGUUGUAAACUUCUUUUAUAAAGGAAUAAAACGAGGCACGUGUGCCUUUUUGUAUGUACUUUAUGAAUAAGGAUCGGCUAACUCCGUGCCAGUAGCCGCGGUAAUACGGAGGAUCCGAGCGUUAUCCGGAUUUAUUGGGUUUAAAGGGAGCGUAGAUGGGUUGUUAAGUCAGUUGUGAAAGUUUGCGGCUCAACCGUAAAAUUGCAAUUGAUACUGGCAGUCUUGAGUACAGUUGAGGUAGGCGGAAUUCGUGGUGUAGCGGUGAAAUGCUUAGAUAUCACGAAGAACCCCGAUUGCGAAGGCAGCUUACUAAACUGUGACUGACAUUGAUGCUCGAAAGUGUGGGUAUCAAACAGGAUUAGAUACCCUUGUAGUC
This 460-nucleotide ribosomal RNA is filed under the name uncultured bacterium. RNAcentral's name for it is "partial 16S ribosomal RNA". It matches the Rfam family "Bacterial small subunit ribosomal RNA", at positions 338 to 795 of the family's 1533-position model. The record is from RNAcentral.